This 374-nucleotide ribosomal RNA is filed under the name uncultured Methanosaeta sp. RNAcentral describes it as "bacterial SSU rRNA". It matches the Rfam family "Archaeal small subunit ribosomal RNA", at positions 965 to 1338 of the family's 1478-position model. The record is from RNAcentral. Lineage: Archaea; Methanobacteriati; Methanobacteriota; Methanomicrobia; Methanotrichales; Methanotrichaceae.
UUUGUCCGGGAUUAGCUGAGAGGUGGUGCAUGGCCGUCGUCAGUUCGUACUGUGAAGCAUCCUGUUAAGUCAGGCAACGAGCGAGACCCACGCCCACAGUUGCCAGCGUACUCUCUGGAGUGACGGGUACACUGUGGGGACCGCCGCUGCUAAAGCGGAGGAAGGAAUGGGCAACGGUAGGUCAGUAUGCCCCGAAUAUCCCGGGCUACACGCGAGCUACAAUGGUUGGUACAAUGGGUAUCUACCCCGAAAGGGGACGGGAAUCUCCUAAAACCAAUCUUAGUUCGGAUUGAGGGCUGCAACUCGCCCUCAUGAAGCUGGAAUCCGUAGUAAUCGCGUUUCAACAGAACGCGGUGAAUACGUCCCUGCUCCUU